Molecule: unclassified non-coding RNA, 3461 nt
Filed under: Bos taurus (domestic cattle)
Lineage: Eukaryota; Metazoa; Chordata; Mammalia; Artiodactyla; Bovidae
Description: RNA binding motif protein 9
Source: RNAcentral
CGGCGGCCCCGAGCCGAGGAGGCGGCCAGCGAGAGACCAGAGGCUACCGCCCGCCGCCGCCGAGGAGGGCAGCGGGCCCGCGCGCGCGCGCGCGCACGUACGCACGCACGCGGGGGCGGGUGCAGGCGCGCGCCCGCCUGUCGCGACAGUCGGGGCCGAGGCCCAGGGGGAGGUGGCCUGUCGCGGGUCGCCCGGCUCCCGGAGGCGAGGGGGCCUCGGGCGGAUGGCGGAAGGUGCCCAGCCGCAGCAGCCGCCUCAGCUUGGGCCCGGCGCCGCUGCCCGGGGGAUGAAGCGGGAGUCAGAGCUGGAGCUGCCGGUGCCCGGAGGGGGAGGAGACGGAGCCGAGCCCGGCCUGAGCAAGCGGCCGCGUACGGAGGAGGCGGCGGCCGACGGCGGCGGGAUGCAGAACGAGCCUCUGACCCCAGGUUAUCAUGGAUUCCCAACACGGGACAGCCAGGGUAACCAGGAGCCAACAACAACUCCUGAUGCAAUGGUUCAGCCUUUUACUACCAUCCCGUUUCCACCACCUCCACAGAAUGGAAUUCCCACAGAGUAUGGAGUGCCACACACUCAGGACUAUGCCGGCCAGACCAGUGAGCAUAACCUGACACUCUACGGAAGCACGCAAGCCCACGGGGAGCAGAGCAGCAACUCACCCAGCACACAGAACGGAUCUCUGACGCAGACAGAAGGAGGUGCACAGACAGACGGCCAGCAGUCACAGACACAAAGUAGUGAAAAUUCAGAGAGUAAAUCUACCCCUAAACGACUGCAUGUCUCUAAUAUUCCUUUCCGCUUCCGGGACCCUGACCUCCGGCAGAUGUUUGGGCAGUUUGGCAAAAUCCUAGAUGUAGAAAUAAUCUUUAAUGAACGUGGCUCUAAGGGAUUCGGGUUCGUAACUUUCGAGAAUAGUGCUGAUGCAGACAGGGCCAGGGAGAAAUUACACGGCACCGUGGUAGAGGGCCGUAAAAUCGAGGUGAAUAAUGCUACAGCACGUGUAAUGACCAAUAAGAAGAUGGUCACACCAUAUGCAAAUGGUUGGAAAUUAAGCCCAGUAGUUGGAGCUGUAUAUGGCCCUGAGUUGUAUGCAGCAUCCAGCUUCCAAGCAGAUGUGUCCCUAGGCAACGACGCAGCCGUGCCCCUGUCAGGAAGAGGGGGCAUCAACACUUACAUUCCUUUAAUCAGUCUCCCUUUAGUUCCUGGCUUCCCUUACCCAACUGCAGCCACCACGGCGGCCGCUUUCAGAGGAGCCCACCUGAGGGGCAGAGGGCGGACGGUAUAUGGCGCAGUCCGAGCGGUACCUCCAGCAGCCAUUCCCGCCUAUCCAGGUGUGGUUUACCAGGACGGAUUUUACGGUGCUGACCUCUAUGGUGGGUACGCAGCCUACAGAUAUGCACAGCCCGCCACUGCGACCGCAGCCACCGCCGCUGCCGCCGCUGCAGCCGCUUACAGCGACGGUUAUGGCAGGGUGUACACCGCCGACCCCUACCAUGCCCUUGCCCCUGCCGCUAGUUACGGAGUUGGCGCUGUGGCGAGUUUAUACCGAGGUGGCUACAGCCGAUUUGCCCCCUACUGAAGUGACGUGAGACCCCUGCAAGUGGGACAGCCCCCCAGUUCAUGAGGCCUGGCUAUUGCAAUAUUUACUAGUAGAGGAACUCUAUAGCAAGAUGAAGAGGAAAAACAAACAAACAAACAAAAAAAAAACACAAAAAAAGAGAGAAUACUUUUUUAUACCUCACUAUGUUCUUUGAAUAUGUAUUUUUCCUUUAAAUUUCUGCCUUUAAUUCUUUUGUUCCAAAGAUUGUGCAUUUUUUUCUUUUUUUUUUUUUCUUUUUUUUUUUAACUGUGGUAAAAAAAAAAAAAUGCAUUUCCAUGUCUGUAUGUCCGUGCUUAGCUUAUUCUAUCAGUCACGGAAGAGGCAGUUAAUGAGGAAGGAGAGACAUUAGGAGCUGAUAAAUGCAUCUGAUCAGAAAUCAGCAGACAGGAUUACCAAAGUGAAUCUGGUGCUGACUGGCUGGGGGACAAGCAGAAGUAGAAGAGACCUCUCUGCAACAGGAUAUCCUUCUAGUCUUCUGAGUUUCUGGUCUUUGGCAGGUCAUUCUGAUUGGCUGUGGCUGGAAUCCACAUGCUAAUAGAUGAUAGGAAUGUGUGCUUGCAAAGCAGGAGAAUCACAAAGACACUUUCCUCUCCUCUUCCCUCCUGUCUUCUCCAUUCUUUUUAUAAUCAUCUUAACAUGCACAGCCUGAGAUAGUUGGCAUGGUUUUUGGAAUUAUAGUAUUAAUAUUUCCAAACAUGCGCUCAGACUGUGGAUAAUAAACACCUCAUUAGGCAUCCGGUCUCCAAAUGAACUCUGGAGUCUGAGAAAGAUCAUUCUUUUCUUUGCUGUAAACCCUAGCGUUCCUGCUGGGCUUCUUCCCUUUCUUUGAACCACCGCUUAGCUCAUCUCUCCGUUUUCUAACACCCUGCUCCCAUGUCCUCAAGAUUCAAGAAUUUAGGACCCAGGGAUAGAAGAAUAAAUAGCCAGUGGCCAAAUUUCCCCAGAGGUCUGGGCAUGGCUUGCAGGCUAGAAGUCCAAAUUGUCAAGUGCCACUGAAGAGGAUGAGGGCAAGAAAAAGGAUGUUAGAUGAUGUCUGACAAGGUGCCCUGAUAUUCCCAGUCUUUCUCUUGCAUCAGAAAGUCAGCACAGAGUGUAAAACAUGUAACAUAGGCUCUGUUGGCAAAAGAUAAAGCACCGAGCCCUAGAUCAACUGUCCCUGGAGGUUUGGUGAGCAGGGCGUAUAAGGGCAGGCAAAGGCACUUUGUACGAGCUCCAAAGCCAUAGGACUUUUCAUCUUCCAGAGCCUGUACGAGUCACUUCUCUGUCCACAGUCUGGAGCCGUUACGGCCAUUUCACCCAGCUUCUCAUUAUCCUCCAAAGACAGCCAGCUGAGCAGCUGGACCACUUGGUAUUCGUGAACACUACAGGACAUGAAACCGAAGCCCCUGAGGCUGCUCCCCUCCCUCCUGUACAGGAAGGAGGGUCUGAAAUGGCCAGGACCUCACAUGUUGCCAGAAAGAGCCACUCAUGUGGCCACACAGUGAGUCCCUGCUACACUACCCGGCUUCAAUUUUCUGUCUGUUAUCAGGGCAGGGGGGCUGUGCUUCUCUUCUAGCUAUUAGCUGUUAAAGGCAAGGGUCCUGCAGUAUUUCCAAAAUGAAGGCAUUAGCAAAUGGAAAAGCACGGUCCAUUUGGCUCCCUGGUCUAUUCACAUUGGUACUAGGGUGACCUUUCACCCGUGGGAUAGCUGCUAAAGGGAGCAAUUCAGAGACAUGGAGCUUCUGGUUUGUUAUGGGUUUGUUUUGGUUUGUUGUUUUUUUGUUGUUGUUGUUUUAAUUUUUUUUUUUUACUCCUGCCUCCACACAUGUUCUUUCCUGAUCCUGAUUCUUGUCCCUGAAUUAAAAUAACUGACGUAUGACAGCAU